UGUCUUUUUGAUAAUAAUAUAAAGUCUAAUCUGCCCACUGAUUUUAAAUUAAAGGGCUGCAGUAUAUUGACUGUACAAAGGUAGCAUAAUCAUUAGUCAUUUAAUUGAUGACUUGUAUGAAAGAUUGGAUGAAAUAUAAACUGUCUUUUAUUUAAUUAUAAAAUUUAAUUUUUUUAUAAAAAAGUUAAAAUAAUUUAAAAAGACGAGAAGACCCUAUAGAGUUUUAUAUAUAAUUAAAUUGAGAUUAUAUUGAAAAUUAAAUUUAAAAUUUAAUUAUUUAUUUUAUUGGGGUGAUGAAAAAAUAUAAAAAACUUUUUUUUUAUAAAAACAUUUAUAAGUGAUUGAAUGAUUCAAUAAUAUUGAUUAUAAGAAAAAAUUACCUUAGGGAUAACAGCGUAAUUUUUUUUUUUAGUUCAAAUAAAAAAAAAAGUUUGCGACCUCGAUGUUGGAUUAAGAUAAAAUUUAAAUGUAGAAG
RNAcentral lists this ribosomal RNA (475 nucleotides) under Acrapex alemura. RNAcentral's name for it is "partial large subunit ribosomal RNA". Lineage: Eukaryota; Metazoa; Arthropoda; Insecta; Lepidoptera; Noctuidae. The record is from RNAcentral.